This 30-nucleotide ribosomal RNA is filed under the name Fusarium solani. Its description in RNAcentral is "partial 18S ribosomal RNA". The record is from RNAcentral. Lineage: Eukaryota; Fungi; Ascomycota; Sordariomycetes; Hypocreales; Nectriaceae.
GGCAACGGGACUUAACUCAUCACCCUGUGA